ACGGGUGAGUAAUGUCUGGGAAACUGCCCGAUGGAGGGGGAUAACUACUGGAAACGGUAGCUAAUACCGCAUAACGUCUACGGACCAAAGUGGGGGACCUUCGGGCCUCACACCAUCGGAUGUGCCCAGAUGGGAUUAGCUAGUAGGUGGGGUAAUGGCUCACCUAGGCGACGAUCCCUAGCUGGUCUGAGAGGAUGACCAGCCACACUGGAACUGAGACACGGUCCAGACUCCUACGGGAGGCAGCAGUGGGGAAUAUUGCACAAUGGGCGCAAGCCUGAUGCAGCCAUGCCGCGUGUAUGAAGAAGGCCUUCGGGUUGUAAAGUACUUUCAGUGGGGAGGAAGGCGAUGGAGUUAAUAGCUUCGUCGAUUGACGUUACCCGCAGAAGAAGCACCGGCUAACUCCGUGCCAGCAGCCGCGGUAAUACGGAGGGUGCAAGCGUUAAUCGGAAUUACUGGGCGUAAAGCGCACGCAGGCGGUCUGUCAAGUCGGAUGUGAAAUCCCCGGGCUCAACCUGGGAACUGCAUUCGAAACUGGCAGACUAGAGUCUUGUAGAGGGGGGUAGAAUUCCAGGU
RNAcentral lists this ribosomal RNA (576 nucleotides) under uncultured bacterium. RNAcentral describes it as "bacterial SSU rRNA". It matches the Rfam family "Bacterial small subunit ribosomal RNA", at positions 102 to 674 of the family's 1533-position model. The record is from RNAcentral.